RNAcentral lists this ribosomal RNA (164 nucleotides) under Styrax gentryi. RNAcentral's name for it is "5.8S ribosomal RNA". It matches the Rfam family "5.8S ribosomal RNA". Rfam says of the family: 5.8S ribosomal RNA (5.8S rRNA) is a component of the large subunit of the eukaryotic ribosome. It is transcribed by RNA polymerase I as part of the 45S precursor that also contains 18S and 28S rRNA. Functionally, it is thought that 5.8S rRNA may be involved in ribosome translocation. Lineage: Eukaryota; Viridiplantae; Streptophyta; Magnoliopsida; Ericales; Styracaceae. The record is from RNAcentral.
UAAACGACUCUCGGCAACGGAUAUCUCGGCUCUCGCAUCGAUGAAGAACGUAGCGAAAUGCGAUACUUGGUGUGAAUUGCAGAAUCCCGUGAACCAUCGAGUUUUUGAACGCAAGUUGCGCCCGAAACCAUUAGGUCGAGGGCACGCCUGCCUGGGCGUCACAC